GCAAGUCGAACGCACAGCGAAAGGUGCUUGCACCUUUCAAGUGAGUGGCGAACGGGUGAGUAACACGUGGACAACCUGCCUCAAGGCUGGGGAUAACAUUUGGAAACAGAUGCUAAUACCGAAUGAAACUUAGUGUCGCAUGACACGAAGUUAAAAGGCGCUUUGGCGUCACCUAGAGAUGGAUCCGCGGUGCAUUAGUUAGUUGGUGGGGUAAAGGCCUACCAAGACAAUGAUGCAUAGCCGAGUUGAGAGACUGAUCGGCCACAUUGGGACUGAGACACGGCCCAAACUCCUACGGGAGGCUGCAGUAGGGAAUCUUCCACAAUGGGCGAAAGCCUGAUGGAGCAACGCCGCGUGUGUGAUGAAGGCUUUCGGGUCGUAAAGCACUGUUGUAUGGGAAGAACAGCUAGAAUAGGGAAUGAUUUUAGUUUGACGGUACCAUACCAGAAAGGGACGGCUAAAUACGUGCCAGCAGCCGCGGUAAUACGUAUGUCCCGAGCGUUAUCCGGAUUUAUUGGGCGUAAAGCGAGCGCAGACGGUUGAUUAAGUCUGAUGUGAAAGCCCGGAGCUCAACUCCGGAAUGGCAUUGGAAACUGGUUAACUUGAGUGCAGUAGAGGUAAGUGGAACUCCAUGUGUAGCGGUGGAAUGCGUAGAUAUAUGGAAGAACACCAGUGGCGAAGGCGGCUUACUGGACUGUAACUGACGUUGAGGCUCGAAAGUGUGGGUAGCAAACAGGAUUAGAUACCCUGGUAGUCCACACCGUAAACGAUGAACACUAGGUGUUAGGAGGUUUCCGCCUCUUAGUGCCGAAGCUAACGCAUUAAGUGUUCCGCCUGGGGAGUACGAC
This 848-nucleotide ribosomal RNA is filed under the name Leuconostoc pseudomesenteroides. Its description in RNAcentral is "bacterial SSU rRNA". It matches the Rfam family "Bacterial small subunit ribosomal RNA", at positions 57 to 886 of the family's 1533-position model. The record is from RNAcentral. Lineage: Bacteria; Bacillati; Bacillota; Bacilli; Lactobacillales; Lactobacillaceae.